AGAGUUUGAUCAUGGCUCAGGAUGAACGCUAGCUACAGGCUUAACACAUGCAAGUCGCGGGGCAGCAUGUUACUGGCUUGCCAGUAAUGAUGGCGACCGGCGCACGGGUGAGUAUCGCGUAUCCAACCUUCCCAUAUCCACGGGAUAGCCUGCCGAAAGGCAGAUUAAUACCGUAUGUUGUCGCACGCUGGCAUCAAAAUGCGACGAAAGGCUUAGCGGAUAUGGAUGGGGAUGCGUCCGAUUAGCUUGACGGCGGGGUAACGGCCCACCGUGGCGACGAUCGGUAGGGGUUCUGAGAGGAAGGUCCCCCACAUUGGAACUGAGACACGGUCCAAACUCCUACGGGAGGCAGCAGUGAGGAAUAUUGGUCAAUGGGCGGAAGCCUGAACCAGCCAAGUAGCGUGCAGGAUGACGGCCCUAUGGGUUGUAAACUGCUUUUAUGCGGGGAUAAAGUAUGGGACGUGUCCCAUUUUGCAGGUACCGCAUGAAUAAGGACCGGCUAAUUCCGUGCCAGCAGCCGCGGUAAUACGGAAGGUCCGGGCGUUAUCCGGAUUCAUUGGGUUUAAAGGGAGCGUAGGCCGCCCCUUAAGCGUGUUGUGAAUGCCGCGGCUCAACCGUGGCACUGCAGCGCGAACUGGGGGGCUUGAGUGUGCGCGACGCAGGCGGAAUUCGUGGUGUAGCGGUGAAAUGCUUAGAUAUCACGAGGAACCCCGAUUGCGAAGGCAGCUUGCGGGAGCACUACUGACGCUGAAGCUCGAAGGCGCGGGUAUCGAACAGGAUUAGAUACCCUGGUAGUCCGCGCGGUAAACGAUGGAUGCCCGCUGUGUGCCAUUAUGGUAUGCGGCCAAGCGAAAGCGUUAAGCA
RNAcentral lists this ribosomal RNA (864 nucleotides) under uncultured bacterium. RNAcentral describes it as "bacterial SSU rRNA". It matches the Rfam family "Bacterial small subunit ribosomal RNA", at positions 8 to 866 of the family's 1533-position model. The record is from RNAcentral.